RNAcentral lists this long non-coding RNA (213 nucleotides) under Lathyrus oleraceus (garden pea). Its description in RNAcentral is "Pisum sativum (pea) long non-coding RNA (PSAT_LNC026538)". The record is from RNAcentral. Lineage: Eukaryota; Viridiplantae; Streptophyta; Magnoliopsida; Fabales; Fabaceae.
UUUGAUAUUUCUUUCUUGUGGAUGUUUGUUGAGAUUAAUAUGGUUAGAUUUUGAUUUUACCAUGAUUUCCCCAUUAGGUUAAUUCUCAUUCAAUUGGACUAUUGUGUGAUUGAUUUGUAUAAUCAUGUAGUUUAGAUUCAAUUCUUGAAUUUGGAUUGUGAAUUUCACAUUUGAUUAAUUUCUAUUCUAAUUCAUGUUUAGGUAUCCUUUUAA